RNAcentral lists this ribosomal RNA (482 nucleotides) under uncultured bacterium. Its description in RNAcentral is "partial 16S ribosomal RNA". It matches the Rfam family "Bacterial small subunit ribosomal RNA", at positions 30 to 507 of the family's 1533-position model. The record is from RNAcentral.
AUUGAACGCUGGCGGCAUGCCUUACACAUGCAAAUCGAACGGUAACGGGCCUUCGGGUGCCGACGAGUGGCGAACGGGUGAGUAAUACAUCGGAACGUGCCCGAUCGUGGGGGAUAACGAGGCGAAAGCUUUGCUAAUACCGCAUACGAUCUACGGAUGAAAGCAGGGGACCGCAAGGCCUUGCGCGGACGGAGCGGCCGAUGGCAGAUUAGGUAGUUGGUGGGAUAAAAGCUUACCAAGCCGACGAUCUGUAGCUGGUCUGAGAGGAUGAUCAGCCACACUGGGACUGAGACACGGCCCAGACUCCUACGGGAGGCAGCAGUGGGGAAUUUUGGACAAUGGGCGCAAGCCUGAUCCAGCCAUGCCGCGUGCAGGAUGAAGGCCUUCGGGUUGUAAACUGAUUUUGUACGGAACGAAAAGCCUUCUUUUAAUACAGGAGGGUCAUGACGGUACCGUAAGAAUAAGCACCGGCUAACUACGUA